This 406-nucleotide ribosomal RNA is filed under the name uncultured bacterium. RNAcentral describes it as "partial 16S ribosomal RNA". It matches the Rfam family "Bacterial small subunit ribosomal RNA", at positions 30 to 526 of the family's 1533-position model. The record is from RNAcentral.
AUUGAACGCUGGCGGCAGGCUUAACACAUGCAAGUCGAGCGAGCGGCGGACGGGUGAGUAAUGUCUGGGAAACUGCCUGAUGGAGGGGGAUAACUACUGGAAACGGUAGCUCAUACCGCAUACCCUCAGAUGUGCCCAGAUGGGAUUAGCUAGUAGGUGGGGUAAUGGAGCACCUAGGCGACGAUCCCUAGCUGGUCUGACAGGAGGACCAGCCACACUGGAACUGAGACACGGUCCAAACUACUACGGGAGGCAGCAGUGGGAAAUAGUGCACAAUGGGCGAAAGCCUGAUGAAGCAAUGCCGCGUGUGUGAAGAAGGCCUUCGGGUUGUAAAGCACGUUCAGCGAGGAGGCGUUACUCGCAGAAGAAGCACCGGCUAACUCCGUGCCAGCCGCCGCGGUAAUUC